Molecule: long non-coding RNA, 232 nt
Filed under: Nicotiana benthamiana
Lineage: Eukaryota; Viridiplantae; Streptophyta; Magnoliopsida; Solanales; Solanaceae
Description: long non-coding RNA (NBEN_LNC007990)
Source: RNAcentral
CCACCUUCGUUAUCUCCGGCUUCCUGACAGUCGUUGAUCCUUUUCAGAAACUUGCCUCCCAGUUCCACUAAACCCCGUUCCAAGUACCCUAAACGGUUGCUUGCGUGGACAUCCAUGUCCUUCCACUCAUUGAUUAUCUUCUCUUGGGCCUCCAAUAUUUGCCGAUGAUCAUUUUCACACUCUCGUAUCCGUUUGCGUAGCUGAUUGUACUUGACCUUUGCUGCUAUCUUCU